Molecule: ribosomal RNA, 315 nt
Filed under: Triticum aestivum (bread wheat)
Lineage: Eukaryota; Viridiplantae; Streptophyta; Magnoliopsida; Poales; Poaceae
Description: partial small subunit ribosomal RNA
Source: RNAcentral
AUGGACAAGUACACGAUUCGCAUCCUUGCACUAGCAGCACUAGUGUGUCUACAUCUCGUAUGCUCUGCUACUGUUGCUCAAUGCCGAAUCAUGGCUGACACAGACAGCAAGAAGAUCGAUCUACCAAAUGGGCUAUGCGUUGAAGUAGCUCCUGAGGAUUGUAUGAACCGUGCUGGUUGCUUCCAUUGUUUGGUAACUGACGUCUUCUACCCCACUAUGGAUGACUGCAAGAGCAUGUGUAACACAUCCUCGUCUUUACAAGACAUGCUAGGUGCCAUGACGACAUCCCCUCCCCCUCCUUUACCUGCUCCUUAA